RNAcentral lists this ribosomal RNA (522 nucleotides) under uncultured Glomus. RNAcentral's name for it is "SSU rRNA". It matches the Rfam family "Eukaryotic small subunit ribosomal RNA", at positions 569 to 1092 of the family's 1831-position model. The record is from RNAcentral. Lineage: Eukaryota; Fungi; Glomeromycota; Glomeromycetes; Glomerales; Glomeraceae.
AGCAGCCGCGGUAAUUCCAGCUCCAAUAGCGUAUAUUAAAGUUGUUGCAGUUAAAAAGCUCGUAGUUGAAUUUCGGGGUCAGCAGGUUGGUCGUGCCACUGGUAUGUACUGGCUUUGCUGAUUCCUCCUUCUUGUAGAACCGCAAUGCCAUUAAUUUGGUGUUGCGGGGAAACAGGACUGUUACUUUGAAAAAAUUAGAGUGUUUAAAGCAGGCUAACGCUUGAAUACAUUAGCAUGGAAUAAUGAAAUAGGACGAGCGAUCCUAUUUUGUUGGUUUCUAGGAUUGACGUAAUGAUUAAUAGGGAUAGUUGGGGGCAUUAGUAUUCAAUUGUCAGAGGUGAAAUUCUUGGAUUUAUUGAAGACUAACUACUGCGAAAGCAUUUGCCAAGGAUGUUUUCAUUAAUCAAGAACGAAAGUUAGGGGAUCGAAGACGAUCAGAUACCGUCGUAGUCUUAACCAUAAACUAUGCCGACUAGGGGUCGGAUGAUGUUAAUUUUAUAAUGACUCAUUCGGCGCCUUACG